RNAcentral lists this ribosomal RNA (1213 nucleotides) under Promethearchaeota archaeon. Its description in RNAcentral is "bacterial SSU rRNA". It matches the Rfam family "Archaeal small subunit ribosomal RNA", at positions 187 to 1407 of the family's 1478-position model. Lineage: Archaea; Promethearchaeati; Promethearchaeota. The record is from RNAcentral.
UGGUUUUUAUCUGCUAUAGGAUAGGAUCGUGGAUGAUUAUGGUUGUUGGUGAGGUAACGGCUCACCAAGCCGAUAAUCGAUAGGGGCCGUGAGAGCGGGAGCCCCGAGAUGGGUACUGAGACAACGACCCAGGCCUUACGAGGCGCAGCAGGCGCGGAACCUCCGCAAUACACGAAAGUGUGACGGGGUUACCCAAAGUGUUCAAUUUUGAACUGUGGUAGGUGAGUAAUGUUCCCUACUAGAAAGGAGAGGGCAAGGCUGGUGCCAGCCGCCGCGGUAAAACCAGCUCUUCAAGUGGUCGGGAUAAUUAUUGGGCUUAAAGUGUCCGUAGCCGGUUUAGUAAGUUCCUGGUAAAAUCGGGUAGCUUAACUAUCUGUAUGCUAGGAAUACUGCUAUACUAGAGGGCGGGAGAGGUCUGAGGUACUACAGGGGUAGGGGUGAAAUCUUAUAAUCCUUGUAGGACCACCAGUGGCGAAGGCGUCAGACUGGAACGCGCCUGACGGUGAGGGACGAAAGCCAGGGGAGCGAACCGGAUUAGAUACCCGGGUAGUCCUGGCCGUAAACGAUGCAUACUAGGUGAUGGUGUGGCCAUGAGCCGUAUCAGUGCCGUAGGGAAACCGUUAAGUGUGCCGCCUGGGAAGUACGGUCGCAAGGCUAAAACUUAAAGGAAUUGGCGGGGGAGCACCACAAGGGGUGAAGCCUGCGGUUCAAUUGGACUCAACGCCGGGAAACUUACCAGGGGAGACAGUAGAAUGAUGGUCAGGUUGACGACCUUACCUAACGAGCUGAGAGGAGGUGCGUGGCCGUCGCCAGUUCGUGCUGUGAGGUAUUCUGUUAAGUCAGGCAACGAACGAGAUCCGCACCUUUAUUUGCCAGCAAGAAGUCACGACUUCGUUGGGAACACUAAAGGGACCGCCGUCGAUAAGACGGAGGAAGGAGCGGGCAAAGGCAGGUCAGUAUGCCCCGAAACCCCUGGGCUACACGCGGGCUGCAAUGGUAUGAACAAUGGGCUGUAACUCCGAAAGGAGAAACCAAUCCCGAAAUCAUAUCUCAGUGGGAAUUGUCGGCUGUAACCCGCUGACAUGAACGUGGAAUCCCUAGUAAUCGUGUGUCAUCAUCGCACGGUGAAUACGUCUCUGCUCCUUGCACACACCGCCCGUCGCUCCAUCCGAGUGUGCUAAAAAUGAGGUCUGGUCAUAAUGGUCAUAUCGAG